Molecule: RNA transcript, 2885 nt
Organism: Cherax quadricarinatus
Lineage: Eukaryota; Metazoa; Arthropoda; Malacostraca; Decapoda; Parastacidae
Gene: Rh50
Gene name: Rhesus blood group-associated glycoprotein Rh50
Source: RefSeq, a predicted model, not a curated record
AAGAGGGCUCGAGGUAGCUCAGAAGAGACACACGGACUUGGGCGAGGCAAGAGACAGGUUGGGGACUCUCGAGACCAUAACACAUCAUGAAAUUUUCACACCUUCAUGGCUAUUUAGCCGUCAUCAUCCAACUGAUUUUCUUUGGACUCUUCUGCAUCUUCGUCAGGUACAGCCCAGAUGCAGACGCCCGCCACCACCCCUUACCGGAGAACGCCACGAAGGUGGAGACUAAGAUGGCUCACCACAGCAGUGGCGACCCGUGGAUCCACGCCAGGACCUACCCUAUGUUUCAGGAUGUACACGUAAUGAUUUUCGUGGGCUUCGGGUUCUUGAUGACAUUCUUGAAGAAAUACGGAUUCAGUGCUGUGGGUCUCAACUUCAUGAUCUCUGCGUUGUGCCUCCAGUGGGCCAUCCUCAUCCAUGGCUUCUUUCACCUCAAGUAUGGCACCAUCUUCGUCGACUUGAAUUCGCUGCUGGGGGCUGACUUCACGGCAGCUACUGUACUUAUCACCUUUGGGGCUGUCUUAGGCAAGACCACUCCCACGCAGCUGAUCCUCGUCACCAUGAUAGAGAUCCCGCUUUUUACCAUCAACGAGAUCAUCGGCAGGCAGUACCUAGGGGCUGUUGAUAUGGGGGACUCUAUGUUUGUGCACACCUUUGGCGCUUACUUUGGGUUGGCCCUCAGUCUGAUGCUGUACAGACGUGAUUCAUCCACAGAGAAAGAAGGUUCAAGCUACCAAUCAGACAUCUUCGCUAUGAUCGGCACACUGUUUCUGUGGUUGUACUGGCCGUCCUUCAAUGCGGGAGCUGCUGUUGGAGAUGACCAGCACAGAGGCAUUGUCAACACCUAUGUCUCUCUCAUUGCCUGCUGCUUCACAGCCUUUGCCAUCUCAUCAAUCAUCCAUAAGGACAAGAAGUUUGAUAUGGUUCACAUCCAGAACAGUACACUGGCUGGAGGUGUGGCAGUAGGGACAGCAGCUGACCUAAUGAUACAACCUUGGGGUGCCCUCCUUAUUGGCAUUAUAGCUGGCACUCUAUCUGUCCUCGGCUAUGUUUACCUCACCCCUUUCCUGGCCUCCCGCCUGAGGAUCCACGACACCUGUGGAGUGAAUAACCUGCAUGGGAUGCCUGGCAUCCUGGCUGGCAUCAUUGGCUGUAUUGUAGCAGCCAUGGCAUCAGAGGCAAACUAUGGCCCAAGCUUAUAUGAGAUCUUUCCUGCCCGAGCCCCUCCUCACGGCACAGCACAGCUGGAUCAGUUAAGGGUCUUGCUACCUGACUUGGAAGGUGGAUCAGGGAUCUCUGCUACUGCACAAGCCAUCAAUCAGAUUCUCGCUCUUGUAAUCACCAUGGGUGUCUCAAUUGUUGGAGGAAUUGUUACAGGCCUGAUUCUAAGGCUGCGACCCUUCGCAACGCUUAAGACAGACGAACUGUACGAGGACGAGACCUACUGGUUGGUGGAGGCAGAAGAGGAUGAGCAUGAGGCCCACAAGACCAUCAGCAUACCCAUGAAUGAUGCAGCUGACAAUGGCACCUCCAAGUAAAGCCUCAUACAAGUCCUCACAAUGGCCACCAUGCUGCAUUUAGCUACUUUCUCUUAUGCGGAUGCCUCAAUGGGUCCUCUCCUGUCUUCGUAACAUCGGGUGCCCUGCUGACCACACUUGCGGCUGCAUUAGUGGAUGAAUGGCGGUGAACCAGCCUUUAGUCUCACACAGGAUAUUAUCUGACCCUCUACCUAUAAUUUCCAUGGCCAUCACCACCAAUUAACUGUUCCUGCCUCAAACUUCUAACAGUGCUUUAAUUGCAAUCAUAUUUACUACCAUGUAAGUUUUGUAGUUAAAAUUAAUGCUUUAACAUCAAGUAAUCUAUUCACUGUUGCCUUGAUUGUGCAUUGAAAAUGUUAAAUGUAGCUUUCUGUUUAAUUUUGCUUCGGCAAAUAUAGUAGUUUUCUCCCCCAGAAAUACCUACCAUGGAUAAGUAAUUUUUCAUAUAUAAAGUCUAGAAUUAGCACUUUCACUGAUGGGAAGUAUUUCACAUCUUUGGUUUUGAAGAAUUGCCAGCAUCAUUAAUUUUGGGGGGCAUAAUUAAGGGUUAUUUUUGAGCCACAGUAAACCAUAGAUAACUGAAACCACGGAUACUGAAUCCGUGGAUGUGGGGGUUCUACUGUACAGUGUAAAAUUUGAUAUAGCAUUUAUAUUUUUAUAUCUUAAGUAUUUACUCGACCAGAGUACAUUUUUACUUAAAUAAUUGUACAUAUUGAAUUAUAGACCUUAGAAAAUUAGUGAGCAGAGUAAGUUCUUGUUCAUAUUUUACAUAAAAUAACUUCUCACUUUUUAAUGUUUUCCUUUUUUAGUUAUAUAAUUAGGUACCAAAUGUUUAUAUACUGUAGCAUAUAUUGCAUGCUUUACAAAUACUAUUCAGUUAAUUAAAUGUCGAGGAUUUUACAUCCCUUUAGUUGUUUAUUUUUGAUUCACAAUGUUAAUAUAAGGCAAGACAAAAUAUUCUUAACCUUUUCACUGCAUAAAGUGUCAUCCAGUUGUCCCAAAGAGAAAAAUUAAUUGCUCAAACACGCUUUGGCAGUUUUUUUUUUUUUAAGAGGCCACAAGGUUUCCACAUCUAGCACUUGGUCUUAAAAAUUUAAUAUAGUAUCAUAAAGAAAAACAUUGAUACAUUUAAAUUGUUUAUAAUUUUCUCAAAACAUGUCAGCUUUACUGACACCCUAUUUCAUUGUAAUAACAUGUAUGAUGAUGUGUUUAUAUAGAAAAAUAUUUUAGGACAGAUUUUUCAAGGAUUCCAGAUUUAUACAUUUUGGGUAAAAAUUGCAAGACAACUUAUUUGUAUACUAUAAUGUAUCAGUGCUAUGAAGAAAUAAAUAUUGUAAAAGUUUA